This 596-nucleotide ribosomal RNA is filed under the name Gloeophyllum sepiarium. RNAcentral describes it as "eukaryotic LSU rRNA". The stretch from base 232 to 386 matches the Rfam family "5.8S ribosomal RNA". The record is from RNAcentral. Lineage: Eukaryota; Fungi; Basidiomycota; Agaricomycetes; Gloeophyllales; Gloeophyllaceae.
UAAAAGUCGUAACAAGGUUUCCGUAGGUGAACCUGCGGAAGGAUCAUUAACGAGUAAACAGGAGAGUUGUAGCUGGCCGCAAGGCAUGUGCACGCUCUCUACUCAAUCCAACCUUACACCUGUGCACCUAUUGUAGGUCGAGUGGCUGGACUUGUUCUGGUCGCUCUUCCUAUGUUUUACACAUACACUUGUAGUCUCAGAAUGUAAUCAGCGUAUAACGCAUUAUAAAACAACUUUCAACAACGGAUCUCUUGGCUCUCGCAUCGAUGAAGAACGCAGCGAAAUGCGAUAAGUAAUGUGAAUUGCAGAAAUUCAGUGAAUCAUCGAAUCUUUGAACGCACCUUGCGCUCCUUGGUAUUCCGAGGAGCAUGCCUGUUUGAGUGUCAUGAAUAUCUCAACUCACCCGGUUUUUAUUAACUGUGGUGGGCUUGGACUUGGAGGUAUGCUGGCUGACUAGUCGGCUCCUCUCCUAAAUGCAUUAGCUGGACCUGUUAUGGAUCAGUACUCGGUGUGAUAAUUGUCUACGCCGUGUCUGUGAAGUGCUUGAAUGGACUAGCUUCUAACCGUCUUCGGACAACUAUUGACAUUUUGACCUC